CAGAGGAGGAAGCAACAGAGACACUUUAUGAGAGUGAUGAUGGAAAUGCAGAGGAAGAGGGUCCAGCCACUUCUCCAACAAACCUUUCCUCACUCCCUGUAAAGCAGCUGUACAAGACCUAUUUGAUCAAGAAAGUAAAAAAAUGCGACUUGGAAAUGGAACACUUCAAGCAGCAGAUCCAAAAGACCAAGAUUGAGAUUUUACUGCUGGAACAUCAGU
Molecule: long non-coding RNA, 219 nt
Organism: Pelmatolapia mariae (spotted tilapia)
Lineage: Eukaryota; Metazoa; Chordata; Actinopteri; Cichliformes; Cichlidae
Exons: 3
Source: RefSeq, a predicted model, not a curated record